This 861-nucleotide ribosomal RNA is filed under the name uncultured bacterium. RNAcentral's name for it is "bacterial SSU rRNA". It matches the Rfam family "Bacterial small subunit ribosomal RNA", at positions 128 to 1015 of the family's 1533-position model. The record is from RNAcentral.
ACCCUUUGCGGGGGAUAACUCAGGGAAACCUGAGCUAAUACCGCAUAUGUCCUUCGGGAUGAAAGGCUUCGGCACCAGAGGAUCGGUCUGCGGCCCAUUAUCUAAUCCUAGUUGGUAGGGUAACGGCCUACCAAGGGUACGAUGGGUAGCUGGUCUGAGAGGAUGAUCAGCCACACUGGGACUGAGACACGGCCCAGACUCCUACGGGAGGCAGCAGUGGGGAAUAUUGGACAAUGGGCGAAAGUGAUCCAGCCUCGCCGCGUGUGUGAUGAAGGCCCUCGGGUUGUAAAGCACUGUCGGGAGGGACGAAGCCUUCGGGUUGACGGUACCUCGCAAGAAAGCACCGGCUAACUUCGUGCCAGCAGCCGCGGUAAUACGAAGGGUGCAAGCGUUGCUCGGAAUUACUGGGCGUAAAGCGACCGCAGCGGUCCAGUAGGUCGGAUGUGAAAGCCCGGGGCUCAACCCCGAACUGCAUUCGAAACCCCUGGACUUGAGUACUGGAGAGGAGGGCGGAAUUCCUGGUGUAGAGGUGAAAUUCGUAGAUAUCAGGAGGAACGCUCGCGGCGAAGCGGCUCUCUGGCCAGAUACUGACGCUCAUGGUCGAAAGCAUGGGUAGCGAACGGGAUUAGAUACCCCGGUAGUCCAUGCCGUAAACGAUGAAUGCUAGCUGAUGGAGGUCUAUACCCGUUCAUUGGCAAAGUUAACGCAUUAAGCAUUCCGCCUGGGGACUACGGCCGCAAGUAAAACUCAAGGAAUUGACGGGGGCCCGCACAAGCAGUGGAGUAUGUGGUUUAAUUCGACGCAACGCGCAGAACCUUACCCGGCCUUGACAUCCUUGGAAAUGGCUCGAAAGAUGAUUGU